GCCAACUUAGCAGAAAUUAAUGUUUGCGACUUAGGAUCGCAGGGUGUAGGUAACUACAGUUGGUA
Molecule: transfer RNA, 65 nt
Filed under: Teredo sp. TBF02
Lineage: Eukaryota; Metazoa; Mollusca; Bivalvia; Myida; Teredinidae
Also listed under: 2 other names
Description: tRNA-Leu
Source: RNAcentral